CUCAGCUUGACAAACCAAUCCGGGGUUCGGCUCGUUUGCUUGCUGUGCAAAAACCUCCCAGCCAACGUCCAGAAUAGUGGACACCGACCCCUGCUGCUUCUCCACCACCUCUGCAACCUUGUCGUCUGCCUCGCCCAGAAGUUAGAAAAAACUGAGCGGCUAGGAAGUAGCUGCCUUGUCAAGAGGGAAGGAGCAGGAGCCCAUUCUGUACAGGAAAUGCAACAGGCGGUGAUCUUGGGAGCACUGGUGACAGGUUUUGGGGGAGGGGAGGGGACAGUAUAAUGGAUUUUCUUUUCUUUAUUUUUUUUUUUAGGGAGGCAAAGAAGGAGGAGGAAAGAAACGGCUACUCAAGGAUUGACCCCUUUGUUUCAACCUACUGAAGGCAACUGUUACCUGAACCUGUCUGGAGCUAAAUGACUUGUGCAAGACUGAAGAGAAGUCAAAGCUCCCCUCCACCUCUGGCGGAAAAAGGAAUUAGGAAAAAAAGAGAGGAGCAGGAAAAAUACAAUAUAAUUGUCAUUAAAACAGAAAUCCAUAUUGGAGUAAGACCAUUAUAUGAUCAGCUGGAGCCUUAUAAUCCCAGAGCUACAUUAGGCUUAUUUAGUGUUCAUAUAAAUCACAAUGUAAUUAAUUCAAUGGACAAGGGUGGAGGUUCCAGAGAUCUGGUCCUGCCUUAGCCAUGAAAGCUGACUUGGGCCAGUUUCUCUUUCUCAAUAUAACUCGCCUCACAAGGUUGUUGCAAAUAAAUAGGAGGGGUGUGUGUUAAAUAUAUUCACUGUCUUGAGUUAUUUAUAAAAUAAUAAAGGUAAGAUACAAACAAAUUAAAUUAAAA
This is a long non-coding RNA of Crotalus tigris (Tiger rattlesnake), 832 nucleotides long. RefSeq lists it as uncharacterized. The record is from RefSeq and is a predicted model, not a curated record. The transcript has 2 exons. NCBI's taxonomy places the organism in Eukaryota, Metazoa, Chordata, Lepidosauria, Squamata, Viperidae.